Molecule: long non-coding RNA, 623 nt
Organism: Notolabrus celidotus (New Zealand spotty)
Lineage: Eukaryota; Metazoa; Chordata; Actinopteri; Labriformes; Labridae
Exons: 3
Source: RefSeq, a predicted model, not a curated record
CCGAUCUGAAAAUGGUCCUGACCUGAAAGAUAACAUGGUCUCACAUCAAGGAAAAACUGAGGAGGACCAUGAGCAGAAGAUAAAGAUUUAUGAAUGAAAGAACAAAAGUGUGAAGGCAUCACCUGUACGCUGGAUGGCGUCUCUCCACUGAAGAAGGAGGAGAAAAGAAAGAAGCAAGGGAGAUUAUCAGGGAUGGAAGUGAUGAAGAUUUGCAUUGACUCCACCUCACUGCUGAAAAUGAAAAGCAUGAAGACUCUGCCUCAGAUUUCUUUACUGUGUCUGUUUUGAAAUGACUGGAUUCAUCAAGGCUGCUUUGAAAAGACACAAAACUCAAGAAAGUGGAUCCAUCCAGUCCUCAGGACCAGAUUCUGAAGAGUCUUCAGACAAAGUGACAUUAAAGUUAACUUCUGAUCCAUGAUGACGUAUUGCAAAGAGGCGUUUAUGUCCAGAAGUGAGGAACACAUUUGUUUGUAGAGUCGUACCAAAAUGAUUUUCAUCUUCCAAUCAGCUUCAUAUUACUCAUCACUUUCUCAAUGAACAAGUGAAAUAAGGCAAGUUUAUUUAUAGCACAUUUAAAAGACGUGUUGAGAGGAUAUUAAAGAUCACAGACAUUUAUGAAACCA